Molecule: unclassified non-coding RNA, 23 nt
Filed under: Dictyostelium discoideum
Lineage: Eukaryota; Evosea; Eumycetozoa; Dictyosteliales; Dictyosteliaceae
Source: RNAcentral
CAUCUUCUCCAGGAUAGAAGGAU